AACUUUUAGCAAUGGAUCACUUGGCUCUCGCAUCGAUGAAGAACGCAGAGAAAUGCGAUAAGUAAUGUGAAUUACAGAAUUCAGUCAAUCAUCGAAUCUUUGAACGCACCUUGCACCCUUUGGCAUUCCGAAGGGUAUGCUCGUUUGAGUGUCAUUGUACUCUCACACUCCCGAUGCUUUUUGGAUCGGGAGCGGUGGACUUGGGUGUUGCUGCUUAACUGCGGCUCGCCUCAAAUGGAGUAGUGCAACUCUCGGUUGGACAUAGUACGGCGUGAUAAGUGUCUUCGCCGGCGCCUCUUUAGAGGGUGGCCGAGCGGGAGCUCUGUGCUUCAAACCGUCUUCGGACAACAUCUGACAACUUGACCUCAAAUCGAGUAGGACUACCCGCUGAACUUAAGCAUAUCAAUAAGCGGAGGCU
Molecule: unclassified non-coding RNA, 418 nt
Filed under: uncultured Sebacina
Lineage: Eukaryota; Fungi; Basidiomycota; Agaricomycetes; Sebacinales; Sebacinaceae
Description: sequence contains ITS2
Rfam family: 5.8S ribosomal RNA (bases 1-154)
Source: RNAcentral